Molecule: ribosomal RNA, 459 nt
Filed under: uncultured bacterium
Lineage: Bacteria
Description: partial 16S ribosomal RNA
Rfam family: Bacterial small subunit ribosomal RNA
Source: RNAcentral
AACGAACGCUGGCGGCAGGCCUAACACAUGCAAGUCGAACGUGAAGCCACCUUCGGGUGGUGGAAAGUGGCAGACGGGUGAGUAACGCGUGGGAACGUGCCUUUCGGUUCGGAAUAACCCAGGGAAACUUGGGCUAAUACCGGAUACGCCCUUCGGGGGAAAGAUUCAUCGCCGAAAGAUCGGCCCGCGUCGGAUUAGCUAGUUGGUAGGGUAAUGGCCUACCAAGGCGACGAUCCGUAGCUGGUCUGAGAGGAUGACCAGCCACACUGGGACUGAGACACGGCCCAGACUCCUACGGGAGGCAGCAGUGGGGAAUAUUGGACGAUGGGCGAAAGCCUGAUCCAGCCAUGCCGCGUGGGUGAAGAAGGCCCUAGGGUUGUAAACCCCUUUCAGCGGGGAAGAUAAUGACGGUACCCGCAGAAGAAGCCCCGGCUAACUCCGUGCCAGCCGCCGCCGUAA